CGGGGGGGGGGGGGUACCAGGACUUGCGCUUCCAUCAGUCAAUACACUAGUAUACCAUUUGCACAGAUUUACUGCAUCUUGUCAAUCAUAUGUUUUUCGUAUUUUCUUUUAAAUAGCGGCACCGAAAUAAGUUGUCUUAACUUGAGUGGGCCGCUACUUGGCUGUUAUUUUGCCUUCAUGUGUUUGUUCAAUAAAAAAAAAUACGGCUCACUACACCAUUCUACUAACAUAUAAAUGUCACCCCUCCCCCGACUGUAACCUCUGCUUUGUCAUGAUUAGUGCGACAUGCUUUACCCUAGUUAAAUAAAGAAUAAACAAACAAACAAACAACAAUUUUGAUCUGGAUUUACACUGUAUCUUAUUUCAAGUUAGGGUUCUGUCACAUCUUGGCUCCAUAUGGAAACCUCCGAAAUUCAUGACGCAGGGGCAUUUGCCUGCUGACCAGCACUCUAUAGACGUCUGAGGAAGACAGUGCCUUGUGCCCUCUUGAGACGGUCGACAGAGGCGGCUCGCUCAGAGAAUGACAUGAUCAAUGGGCAUGUGGUUUUGAUAGUCUGUCCCCGUCGGUUACAUAAACAGGAGUGAUGGUAGGACAGGUCAGAACAGAUAGAUGAGAGAAGAGAGGGGAGCUAAUAAAUCGACUCUGUGCGAAUAAGUAAUAGUUAACCGAUGGUAGUGGCCAAAUUUCUGUGUAAGCACCAGGCCCGCCCUGGGGGUUUCUACUCUCCCCGAGGGCAAACCCGCCAUGGGGCACAAGUGGGUUUGAACUUGGAAAACUAACGAACGAACUUGGAGAAGGACGAUGAUUUUCCAGGAUCUAGGAACGGACGUUUGUACAUGAGGAAUUAGUAAAUGGCCAAGAACGCAACUGGAUAUAAACCUACAGAACCUGGAGGUAAAUGUUUUUGUUUCUACAUUUGUAUUUGUAUAUUUCACUUCCUUGUUUCGUUAGAUAUAUUACAAAUCUUUAAAAAAUCGAAUCAAUGGGAGAGUUUCUUUUUAGAUUCUGCUUUUUUUCAUGUAACGUUAAUAUUAUCAAGAAAUAUCUAUUGAUGAUAGUGAUCAACUUACAACGUAAAUGUACAUACAACAGGGCACUUUACAAGGCUUUAGUUCUGCAUUUAGAGUCUGUCAUACCUGUUGCUGGCACAUAAUUGAUCAUAUCCUGAUAAUUCCUUAUACAUUCUCCAGUUUUCCUUUUUUGUUUUGAGGUCACAGUAAGCAUGCCUGUUUUGAAAGGUCGGCUGUUUGUUGUUGAAUAGGUUCAUCAGUCACAGUUGUUUGUUGAUAUUAGCUGGUGAGGCUUCUACCCCGUGUUGACUCGGGGCAAAGAAUACAAUGUAGCAGAGUAUCACAUAAACAUAUUCUAGCUAUAUUUAUGUAAUCAGAACGAACUUCCCUGAUAAAAAUAUGGGCUCAGUUUCAAGAGGUAGAAAUAUUGUUGAGACGCCUUUUGCCUAGCCUGACGACACCGAUCUCAAUAUUAUAUCAGGGUAACGGAUGGGGUGUUUCUGUUGUGGAAUUUCCUUAGGGACAAUGCGUUGUUGGCUCUAGAGCCGAGGAGUUGAUCUGUGUGGGUCAUGGAAAAAGCCUAGCAACCAGACCAGCAGUGACGAGGCGUGUAAUUAUUUUUGCACGAAAACCCAUCGAAGUCACCCAACUUCGACAGUAUUAAUGAAUGAAUGAAUGAAAGACCUUUAUUGUACAUUCAUGCCUCGACGGGCUAGGUACAGGUAUUAAUGUGUCUCAGGUACAGUGUACGUCUCUUGAUGUGAUAUCUAGUACAGCUGUUCCCAAAGAUGUGUCCCAAAAUGCAAAGAUGUCGGACAUAGAGCACAUGUGACAAAAAUACUUCGCUACUUUCCCACACUGAGUGGCACUAAUGAUUUUCGCUAAUAGUGAAAGAACUUGAGAUCACCGUUGUGAACCCGAAAGUAAAACUCAGGGGCACCCUCGCAGAGUCACGGAGUCACCAAAAAUUGCCGCUUAUAUACACCUAUAAAACUAAGAUUACGCUGGCUCUUGGUACAAUAAUUUGCCUAAGAGGAGUUGGGCCUGUUCCCUUCUAAGAAAUGGUACCUUCAUCACAGCUCUCUAUUCACCAGCUACUGACCAUACCAUAACCCACAAGAAAGGCCGCUCGGGUUGGGUUGACACCUUGCCGGGAAGAUUUUUACGUUUCAACAUAAACACCUGCAAUGUGUGACUUAUGUGGGUGCAAGCUUCAAGUUCGUGAGACAUAGCCCGAAUGCAAAAUGUUUGUUUGCUUCGAUGAUAUUGGCUGUAUGAUGUAUCAUAGGUGGGGUGGGGCCCGUGGGAUUUCCAAGGAAGGUGUGUAUCACUGAUGACAUAUCUAGGUCAAACCGAGUUGGUUACAUGAGGUCAAACAACAAACAGAUCCUCCAGGAUGCUGAAUCAGCCCAACAGUUGGGCGACAUCUGGGCGACAUCUGGGCGACAUGUGACCACUCAGUUCAUCAAUCCUCUAGUAUUGAAAAUAGCAAAGGCGAUUCUCAUAAGUGAUUGGUCAGCGAUAGGUCAGCUGCGGGCUUGUGGCCAAUCAGACGGUGAACCUGAAAGCAGUCAUUUCGUGUUCAGCUAUCUGUUUUUCAGUACAGAUCAAGUCGUCAGCGGGUCGAGUCGGUGACACCGGAGCGGGCUGGCAGAGCGCUUCUGGAGCAGCCCAGGCCAAGGCACACAGAGGCGCGGCAAGAUGAACUCACUGCCCUGGGAACCGGCUAGCUCGUUGGCAAGAAAUUUUUUUCGGGGUAUCAGGCAGUUAUUCCCGCCUACAUAGAUGACCACUCGGGGGGCAUGGUGAUUUAGCGGGGAGUUCUUGUCUUGUUGGUCUCGACAACUUCCCGGAGUGCUAUUUCUCGGUCGACGGGUUACGGGAAUGACUGCCCGGCACCCCAAGAUAAUUGCUGGUCCACCGUCCGACCAACCGACGAGCUGACAUGUCUCAAGGUACCCCGCAGGUCUACAGAAGGAUUCACUGGCCAGCAAGAAUCCCAGUUGCGGAUGAAUUGGAGUACCGAUAUAUCCCAACAAAUAUCAAAUGUGACAUCAUCAUGAAAGCAAAAAAAAA
Branchiostoma floridae (Florida lancelet) is the source of this 3087-nucleotide long non-coding RNA. RefSeq lists it as uncharacterized. The transcript is spliced from 2 exons. The record is from RefSeq and is a predicted model, not a curated record. Lineage: Eukaryota; Metazoa; Chordata; Leptocardii; Amphioxiformes; Branchiostomatidae.